AACGAACGCUGGCGGCAGGCUUAACACAUGCAAGUCGAACGAGCUGGGGGCGUCGGUCUCCGAUGCUAGUGGCGCACGGGUGAGUAACACGUGGGAAUAUGCCCUUUAGUACGGAAUAACCAAGUGAAAAUUUGGCUAAUACUGCAUACGCCCUUCGGGGGAAAGAUUUAUGGCUAAGGGAUUGGCCCGCGUCUGGUUAGGUAGUUGGUGAGGGUAUGGCUGACCAAGGCGACGAUGAGUAGCUGGGCUGAGAAGAUGACCAGCCACACUGGGACUGAGACACGGCCCAGACUCCUACGGAAGGGAGCAGUGGGGAAUAUUGGACACUGGGGGCAGAUGUGAUAAAGCCGUGCCGGGUAAGUGGAGAAGGCCGUCGGGUUGUAAAGCUCUUUGGACGGGGACGAUGAUGACGGUACCCGUAUAAGAAGCCCCGGCAAACUUCGUG
RNAcentral lists this ribosomal RNA (445 nucleotides) under uncultured bacterium. RNAcentral describes it as "partial 16S ribosomal RNA". It matches the Rfam family "Bacterial small subunit ribosomal RNA", at positions 29 to 507 of the family's 1533-position model. The record is from RNAcentral.